AUUGAACGCUGGCGGCAGGCCUAACACAUGCAAGUCGAGCGGUUGAGGUAGCUUGCUACCGAUGCAGCGGCGAACGGGUGAGUAAUACAUGGGAAUCUGCCUGGUAGUGGGGGACAACGUCUCGAAAGGGACGCUAAUACCGCAUACGCCUACGGGGAAAGGGGGGAGUCUUCGGACCUCUCGCUAUCAGAUGAGCCCAUGUCAGAUUAGCUAGUUGGUGGGUAAAGGCUCACCAAGGCGACGAUCUGUAACUGGUCUGAGAGGAUGAUCAGUCACACUGGAACUGAGACACGGUCCAGACUCCUACGGGAGGCAGCAGUGGGGAAUAUUGGACAAUGGGCGCAAGCCUGAUCCAGCCAUGCCGCGUGUGUGAAGAAGGCC
Molecule: ribosomal RNA, 381 nt
Filed under: uncultured bacterium
Lineage: Bacteria
Description: bacterial SSU rRNA
Rfam family: Bacterial small subunit ribosomal RNA
Source: RNAcentral